UACUUAGGAAUCUGCCCAGUAGUGGGGGACAACUCGAGGAAACUCGAGCUAAUACCGCAUACGCCCUACGGGGGAAAGCGGGGGAUCUUCGGACCUCGCGCUAUUGGAUGAGCCUAAGUCGGAUUAGCUUGUUGGUGGGGUAAAGGCCUACCAAGGCGACGAUCCGUAGCUGGUCUGAGAGGACGAUCAGCCACACUGGGACUGAGACACGGCCCAGACUCCUACGGGAGGCAGCAGUGGGGAAUAUUGGACAAUGGGGGCAACCCUGAUCCAGCAAUGCCGCGUGUGUGAAGAAGGCCUUCGGGUUGUAAACCUCUUUC
This 320-nucleotide ribosomal RNA is filed under the name uncultured Thiohalospira sp. Its description in RNAcentral is "bacterial SSU rRNA". It matches the Rfam family "Bacterial small subunit ribosomal RNA", at positions 114 to 437 of the family's 1533-position model. The record is from RNAcentral. Lineage: Bacteria; Pseudomonadati; Pseudomonadota; Gammaproteobacteria; Thiohalospirales; Thiohalospiraceae.